Molecule: transfer RNA, 67 nt
Filed under: Nannochorista philpotti
Lineage: Eukaryota; Metazoa; Arthropoda; Insecta; Mecoptera; Nannochoristidae
Description: tRNA-Trp
Source: RNAcentral
AAGACUUUAAGUUAAAUAAACUAAUAGCCUUCAAAGUUAUAAAUAAAGGGAAUUUCUUUAAGUUUUA